RNAcentral lists this small RNA (568 nucleotides) under Pan troglodytes (chimpanzee). RNAcentral's name for it is "retained intron". The record is from RNAcentral. Lineage: Eukaryota; Metazoa; Chordata; Mammalia; Primates; Hominidae.
UAUCACGGCAUCACCGAUGAGGACAUGCAAAGGAAGACCCUCAGGAUCUCCGUCUGUGAUGAGGACAAAUUUGGCCACAAUGAAUUUAUUGGUGAGACCAGAUUCUCCCUCAAGAAACUGAAGCCCAACCAGAGGAAGAAUUUCAACAUCUGCCUGGAGCGAGUGAUUCCUAUGAAACGUGCUGGGACCACCGGGUCAGCCCGAGGCAUGGCCCUUUAUGAGGAGGAGCAGGUGGAGCGUGUUGGUGACAUCGAGGAGCGUGGCAAGAUCCUGGUCUCCCUCAUGUACAGCACACAGCAGGGAGGCCUCAUUGUGGGCAUCAUACGCUGCGUGCACCUGGCUGCCAUGGACGCUAAUGGCUACUCAGACCCAUUCGUCAAGCUGUAAGUCAAUGCCUUGGGGCUACAGGUGGGCCCUGAAGGAGUCCUGGAGCCUUGGAAAAGGAGAACCAGAGAGUUUCACCAAGAUCGUUGUACACUGAGACCCAGAGAGGGCAAGGAACCUGCCCAAGGUCACAGUGAAACAAAUGCCUACAACUGGCAAGAAUGUGGGUCUGGAGUCUCAGGCA